RNAcentral lists this ribosomal RNA (492 nucleotides) under uncultured bacterium. RNAcentral describes it as "partial 16S ribosomal RNA". It matches the Rfam family "Bacterial small subunit ribosomal RNA", at positions 29 to 507 of the family's 1533-position model. The record is from RNAcentral.
AGUGAACGCUGGCGGUAGGCCUAACACAUGCAAGUCGAACGGCAGCACAGUAAGAGCUUGCUCUUACGGGUGGCGAGUGGCGGACGGGUGAGGAAUACAUCGGAAUCUACUUUUUCGUGGGGGAUAACGUAGGGAAACUUACGCUAAUACCGCAUACGACCUACGGGUGAAAGCAGGGGAUCUUCGGACCUUGCGCGAUUGAAUGAGCCGAUGUCGGAUUAGCUAGUUGGCGGGGUAAAGGCCCACCUAGGCGACGAUCCGUAGCUGGUCUGAGAGGAUGAUAAGCCACACUGGAAGUGAGACACGGUCAAGACUCCUACGGGAGGCAGCAGUGGGGAAUAUUGGACAAUGGGCGCAAGCCUGAUCCAGCCAUACCGAGUGGGUGAAGAAGGCCUUCGGGUUGUAAAGCCCUUUUGUUGGGAAAGAAAAGCAGCAGGUUAAUACCCCGCUGUUCUGACGGUACCCAAAGAAUAAGCACCGGCUAACUUCGUG